AACAACAGGGAUUACCUCAGUAACGGCGAGUGAAGCGGUAAAAGCUCAAAUUUUGAAAUCUUCGGAAUUGUAAUUUGAUGGAUAAAAUUGCCACGGACAAAAGUUCACUGGAAAGUGACGCCGUAGAGGGUGAUAGCCCCGUUUACGUCCACCGGCACUAUAAUUUUAUUCCAAAGAGUCGGGUUGUUUGGGAAUGCAGCUCAAAGUGGGUGGUAAAUUCCAUCUAAAGCUAAAUAUUGACGAGAGACCGAUAGCGAACAAGUACAGUGAUGGAAAGAUGAAAAGAACUUUGAAAAGAGAGUGAAACAGUACGUGAAAUUGUUGAAAGGGAAGGGGAGGGAAGAUGUUAAAGGGACUCCUUCUUUUGUAGGGAUCCCCGCCAAAAAGUCUUCCUCUCGCGGCUUGAAACACGGACCAAGGAGUCUAACGAUUAUGCAAGUAUUUGAGUCACCCCCAAAUGCGUA
This 464-nucleotide ribosomal RNA is filed under the name Metschnikowia lachancei. RNAcentral describes it as "LSU rRNA". It matches the Rfam family "Eukaryotic large subunit ribosomal RNA", at positions 64 to 718 of the family's 3401-position model. Lineage: Eukaryota; Fungi; Ascomycota; Pichiomycetes; Serinales; Metschnikowiaceae. The record is from RNAcentral.